AGAGUUUGAUCCUGGCUCAGGAUGAACGCUGGCGGCGUGCUUAACACAUGCAAGUCGAACGAUGAUCCGGUGCUAGCACCGGGGAUUAGUGGCGAACGGGUGAGUAACACGUGAGUAACCUGCCCUUGACUCUGGGAUAAGCCUGGGAAACUGGGUCUAAUACCGGAUAUGACUCCUCAUCGCAUGGUGGGGGGUGGAAAGCUUUUGCGGUUUUGGAUGGACUCGCGGCCUAUCAGCUUGUUGGUGAGGUAAUGGCUCACCAAGGCGACGACGGGUAGCCGGCCUGAGAGGGUGACCGGCCACACUGGGACUGAGACACGGCCCAGACUCCUACGGGAGGCAGCAGUGGGGAAUAUUGCACAAUGGGCGAAAGCCUGAUGCAGCGACGCCGCGUGAGGGAUGACGGCCUUCGGGUUGUAAACCUCUUUCAGUAGGGAAGAAGCGAAAGUGACGGUACCUGCAGAAGAAGCGCCGGCUAACUACGUGCCAGCAGCCGCGGUAAUACGUAGGGCGCAAGCGUUAUCCGGAAUUAUUGGGCGUAAAGAGCUCGUAGGCGGUUUGUCGCGUCUGCCGUGAAAGUCCGGGGCUCAACCCCGGAUCUGCGGUGGGUACGGGCAGACUAGAGUGAUGUAGGGGAGACUGGAAUUCCUGGUGUAGCGGUGAAAUGCGCAGAUAUCAGGAGGAACACCGAUGGCGAAGGCAGGUCUCUGGGCAUUAACUGACGCUGAGGAGCGAAAGCAUGGGGAGCGAACAGGAUUGGAUACCCUGGUAGUCCAUGCC
Molecule: ribosomal RNA, 780 nt
Filed under: uncultured bacterium
Lineage: Bacteria
Description: bacterial SSU rRNA
Rfam family: Bacterial small subunit ribosomal RNA
Source: RNAcentral